Molecule: long non-coding RNA, 805 nt
Organism: Varroa destructor (honeybee mite)
Lineage: Eukaryota; Metazoa; Arthropoda; Arachnida; Mesostigmata; Varroidae
Source: RefSeq, a predicted model, not a curated record
UGUGCGUGCUGCUGCUGCUGCCGCCACUGCUGCUGCUGCUGUCGAUGCUCCUUCCCGCUGCCUUCUCCGCGGCCGCUGGCAAUGGUACCGCUGGCAGCGUGUAUUAGCGCCGCGGCAAGCUCUGCUAGACUUCAGCGGCUCAGCUCCUCUUCGGCGGAAAGCUGUGAGCAGCCGCUCGGUGCUCUCAGCGCGCCUGUUUGUUUGCCGCUGCCGCACGAGAGCGGAGUCGUAUCUUCAUCUAUUGGGGUGGUGUCUGUCGGUCUUUGGCUGUGGUCAUCCUGUGUCUCUGUGCCUGUGCCAGCAGUAGCAGCAGCUCGCGAUCCUUCGCGCCGCCACUCGUCAAGUGGUCCUUCCGCUCUCUUCACAAAGGACAAGCUCUGCUCUAGUCAGGCCGGGACUCUGCCGCUGACGACUCUAGCUGCCUGCUGGGCGGCCCUCACUGGACCUGCUGGUUGUUGGCGCCGCCGCGCUGUAGUGAGCCAUCAGCAGCAGUAGCACUCAGAGAAGAAGUCCUAUCUCGACCCUCAUGCACCCCUAAGGAGCCACCGCUACCCUGUUGGCCUGGGUAGGCCUUGACAGAAACGGCAGCCAAAUAAUAAAGCGCAACAAAUGAGAACAGCGCACACGUUGUUGCGCAAACUCGAUGAAUCUGCGAUAUAAAAUCAACAAAACAAAUAUUCAAUUAAAAUGCAGUACGUCAUGAAGUUUUGCUGAAAGCAGUCAGAGUGAACGUUGGGAAAAGAGUAUCGACAGCGCGGGAUAAAGCACGACACGUAGUAUUCAUACAUGGAGGAAUAUGAAAAAA